RNAcentral lists this long non-coding RNA (203 nucleotides) under Trifolium pratense (red clover). RNAcentral describes it as "long non-coding RNA (TPRA_LNC008278)". Lineage: Eukaryota; Viridiplantae; Streptophyta; Magnoliopsida; Fabales; Fabaceae. The record is from RNAcentral.
AGUCCACCGUGGUUAUUAUUGCACUGCUAUUAUACAUCGUUUCUGGUUGUUAUUGCAAAUCCAUCAUUUUUGGUUGUUAUUGCAGCAGACGGGUGAUGGAGCAGCAGACAACAGAUGGUUUCAGAACGGCGGUGCGCGGUGGGAUGACGGUGCACAAGAAGUUUCGAGCGACAGUCAUGGAAAGGGAGAUAAAUGAGUCGUGC